UGACUUCAUGUUUGUCAGUUCUUGGAUCUC
This 30-nucleotide non-coding RNA is filed under the name Rattus norvegicus (Norway rat). The record is from RNAcentral. Lineage: Eukaryota; Metazoa; Chordata; Mammalia; Rodentia; Muridae.